UUUUUUAUUUUGUUUUUCUUCUCAGCCGAGCAUUUCGAUUUCAAAGAAUGGGAAAAGAAUAUAUUUAUUUGUCAUUUAUAAGAUGUAAGGAAGAUCUAAGGAUAUGUGCAUCAAACGCAAAUAAAUAAAAUGGUUAAAGAGAUGAGUUGCAAGCCUGAUGCGACAGUUGAAUGAUUGGAAAAUGGUUUGCGAGGAAAUAGAGAAGCGCUUUAUCAUAUAAAGGUGUGUUGGCCAAUCCAAAAAAAGAGCCACAUACAAUUAAGGCAGGAAAGCCGGCUUUAAACUACUUUCGGUGGCAGGCCGUAAGCAAAAUGACAAUACUGUGUAAUGUGCCUAUCAUGCGGGUGACAAAGCAGGCGAUUUGCAGUAUUCUGAUGCUGACUUAGCUAAUCAGUCAACAAACUGCAUUAAGCUUAAUACCUUCUGUUAGAAAAGAAUGCCAAAGAGUUGACGAAAUGAUGAAUGAGAAGAAUCAUUGCAAUCAGUGUGACGAACGUGAUUCGGAUUCGUCGUCGUGCAUAUUCUUAAGAUGAAUAUUAAAAAACGGAGAUAUGUCGUAAAGAAAUAGUGAAGGAGACCAAGGGGCUGACUCACACUCAGAGGACCUUUAAAUAUCACUUGAAGAGAAUGUGGAUUUAUACACCUACACGAAUCCUAAGCAUGAAGAUACCAUCAGGUUACAGGUGAAGUUGUGUGUACUCUAACACUUGCAGCAAAUAUUAGGCAAAAGAAAACUUUGCGUGUUUUUAUCAAAAUUCAAACACAUCUUCUUUUAUGUAUUUUAACUUAACCUUUAUUAAACCAAAUGUGUAUCAUUUUGAUUAAUAACUUUUCACGUUUUUCUACUAAAGCAAGUUUACAAUAUCCGCAGAACUUAUGACAUUUCUAGAUCACAAAAACUGAACCGAAUGAUUUUCGUAGACUUAUAUUGGUGUCUGAAUGCUGGAUUCGUAAGAGAGUUCUUCAAAGAGCGAAAUGAUUGGUAGUUGGACGAAUUUCAGUUUAUACGGUUGUGCAUGGAAUCUUAGCUAAACUCUCAAUUUUUGUCAGGCCAACGAAGAUGUGUGUGAACGGGCAUUAUCUUCAAAGAUGCGAAGUGUUUAUUUCAUUCCAUUGUUUAAUUGUUGACGCUUCACAUCACUGCGCCCUUAACUGGCAUUUAUUUUCUGACAAAAGACAGUUUCAUCGUGCCCGACUUGCUUCCAAUCCAACGUGCCGGCAGCAACUAGCUUUUCGAUCAUUGAAUUAAAACUUGUUUUUCCACCAGUCACAAAGUUAUUCUGGAAGUUUACACCAUCAAUUAACUAUGACAGUAGCGAUAGCCUAGCGGAAGUUUCGAUGCAGUUUUUCCUCUUCGAGUAAAGCAGUCCCACUCGGUGAAUGGAUUAGAGGGAAGAGUGUAGAUGCGGACUAUAGAUAGGGAAUUUUAGAUGGAGAAAAGGGUAAGGGUGCUUUAAUGGAAAUUCCUAUGUAAGGAAGGAGCUCGAGGGUGGGUACCGGAAAUUUGGUUGAUAACGGGCACCUGGCUGUUGCUGUUUAAUUUGUAAAAGUACUAUAAAUUCUAUUAAAGGGGCCAUUGUAGACCAUAAAUUGCACUUAACUACACGCGUUGCUUUGGCUGAUUCCUGAUGCAUGAAUAGACAAACAUUGUUUGAAUUUACUAUGAAUGUAAUCGACUACGCAAAAAAAGUGUGAUGCGUAGUAGUGUGUUAAAGUGUCGUACGUUAAUUUCUCUUGUUCUCUAAAUACAUAAAUAUAAAUUUAAGAUAUUUCAAAAGACUCGAUAUUACAGUCAUUCAGUUAUUCAUUGCUUGCCCAUAUUAUUAUCUCGAUAUAAUAAUAAAUAAAUUUUUGAACAUCUGUUUAUAAUAGCACUUUUCAAUAGUCUUUCGGGACGGCCUACCAUAUUUCAUUCCAAUAUCACAAGGGUAUUGCGCUCUGUAGGUUGAAUACAAAAAACAGGUAAGACAGACGGACAGACAAGCUUAAAUCGAUUCAGAAGUGAUUCGGACGCGAUCAGUGUAUCAAAAGGUGACGUUAUCUUAAUUCCUUCUGUGUGUUGCACACAUCCCUUUUCUCCAACAAGCGGGGUAUGGUGUACUUAUUAUAUUAAACAUUAUUUUUUUUUUAAGUAAACCUUUAUUUAGAUGAACUAAAAGUUGGAAAAUAAAUUUGUCCCUAUCACUCUCUAUUUUGAUGUGCCCCAAACUUCAAUCUGUACUUACCUAAAAGUUACUUGGGUAAAUUGAUUUUACAUCGCAUAAAAAACAGCUUACUCUAAAAAAAGAUAUACAAAAUUUUUUUUACUUGAGUCAUUUCUUACUUUUUCGUCCGGAGUGGCCGAAUAGGCAAAGGAUCUUGAGUAGCAACUCAAUGAGUCUCUUCGUUUUUAGUGUUUUUAGUCUUGCACUUAAUUUCUCUGGCCAGUCCGUCAUAUUUCAUUUAGAAUGGCAGUAUAAAGAUUGUUUUCUUAUGCUCUUCAUAUCGAAGGGAAAUUACUAUGAAGAGGGCAGUCCUUCAUUUUAUUGCGGCAGGCAUCUUUUUUCUACCAUAUUACAUUGUCAUUGUAACUGAAAAUGUGCUCGAAGUAUCGAUUGGAUGGAUAUUUCAAGGCUGAGAGGGAUGCGAGUUAAAUAAAAGUUUAUGAAAAACUUCAUUUCUGUUUAUGAACAAUUUUUGUGAUAUUAUUUCCGCUUAUAUAUGCAUAUAUAGCUGGUGUAACGAUUAUCUUUCUCUGACACAUAAUAUGUCUGUUACAUGAUAAGCACUGACGAGUGAUUAUAUGUUAUGUACUGUAAAUCAGAAACAUGCUACGG
Molecule: long non-coding RNA, 2816 nt
Organism: Glossina fuscipes
Lineage: Eukaryota; Metazoa; Arthropoda; Insecta; Diptera; Glossinidae
Exons: 3
Source: RefSeq, a predicted model, not a curated record